This 321-nucleotide long non-coding RNA is filed under the name Ananas comosus (pineapple). Its description in RNAcentral is "long non-coding RNA (ACOM_LNC016350)". Lineage: Eukaryota; Viridiplantae; Streptophyta; Magnoliopsida; Poales; Bromeliaceae. The record is from RNAcentral.
AUAAGCCCCGUAUAACAUUCUACAAAACUCGUCCUACGUCAUCUGUAGAGCGACCAAACCUCUAGUCUGCCUCAUCCUUCUCCACUGGGCAUGCGCAUCACCUGCCAAACAGUACACUGCCAGAUGUACCUGCUCUGGCUCCAGAAUAAACAGAUCCUCGAACAGUUUCUCCAUCGCACUUACCCAACUCUCCAUGACCCAAGGCUCGAUGCGACUGCCAUCGAAGUGCAGCGACGCCUCUCCCGGAGGUGCAACUAGUGCUGUACGAACCGUCGCUGGUGGGGGUACAGCGGUGGCAGGUGCGGCCACUGGAGUAGUCGG